AUGAUGUUCUCGAAUCCCACGAAUUGUUUCCCGGAUAGGGAUAGAUCCAUGGUACAUUCUGCAACUGCUAUGAUGCAGAUUUUCUCGCUGAAAUUGGAAAAGGCUAGUACCAACAUCGGCUUGGUACAAUUAUAUGGAUAUAUAGCAGUGCGUGAUCGUUAUGAUUCAUUGCUUAAUUAUGUCUUCAAUCGUAGCAGAGAUGAUCCAAUCAUUGUGGAGCAGGUGCACAUUUUUACAUAUAUAUGCAAUUACAUUUGA
Molecule: ribosomal RNA, 258 nt
Filed under: Triticum aestivum (bread wheat)
Lineage: Eukaryota; Viridiplantae; Streptophyta; Magnoliopsida; Poales; Poaceae
Description: partial small subunit ribosomal RNA
Source: RNAcentral